This 1464-nucleotide ribosomal RNA is filed under the name Triticum aestivum (bread wheat). RNAcentral's name for it is "partial small subunit ribosomal RNA". Lineage: Eukaryota; Viridiplantae; Streptophyta; Magnoliopsida; Poales; Poaceae. The record is from RNAcentral.
AUGCCGAUCGCCAUGGACACUGGAGGCGCGCCGGAGCCGGAGCCGGAGGAGGAGACCGUCGUCCUCCCUCAUUGGGUGAUGCUGGACCGCAAGGGCAACACCCUCUGCCACAACAGUCUAGAAGCUGCUCGUGUGGCUGUCGACAAGGACAAGACCGCCGCUCCGGUCGACAUGGACGGCGGCCCCUCCUGCUACGUGGCCUUCACCCUCGCGGCUCCUCAAAAAGGGAUCUCCUGCCUCAACCUCCACUUGCCGGAGGGACCUCCAAUUGCCUUAGACACCCCGCCCGCCUAUGCCUUCCUCCGGGCAACCGACAACAACCUCGUCCUCUUUGACAUCUCCAACCCGCAGAAAAAAGUCCUCUUCGACAUCUCCAACCCGAGCCAGAGUUGCUACUGGGAGCCCCCGGCAGAUCUGUUCGUCUACAAGGCCGGCGGUCCUCGCCCCUCGGUGCAGCGGCUCCCACCCUACACAAUCGAGAGCAACAUGCCGUUCCUGAUGGGUUUCGUCACCACAGGCAUCCUGCGGCUCAAAGAUGAGGAUCGCUACAUCGUUGCCGAUAUCAAUGUCUACCGCGGAAAAAAUGGUAUGUGUGCCCAACUCUGCGUCUUCCGCUCUGGGGCUAAACAGUGGGAACUCAGCCCCGAGAUGCCUGCCCCUCAGCCGCAGGACCAGAGCAAUGGCGGCCAGUUCCCCAACCUCUGGUCAACCGACAAUCUGCUUGCUUUUGCCGGCCGUUUCCUGUGCUGUAUUGACUACAUGAGUGGUGUUCUGCUAUGUGACUUCGUGAUACAAGACUUGUCCCCAGUGCUCCGCUUUGUGCCUUUCCCUGGGAAAAAUGAUUUCUCUGAUGAGGAACGGGUUGAAAGGCGCUUCCCUGACAGAUUCCGAAGUGUGUCCAUCAGCCAAGGCAUGCUGUGCUUUGUGCACAUUGACAAUGACUUCCAUGGGCCGCCUCCUGCGAGAAAAAGCCGAGGCCAGCAGAAGCGGCCUACCCAGGAAAUCACCGUUUGGACGUUGGACUCCAACAAGUUCGAGUGGAAGCUACAUCAUGUGAUCAACCUGGAUUCUCUCUGGGCGCAACCUGGCUACCUAGAUCUGCACAUAGAUCAGCGUCUUCCUGAGUUCCCAACCAUCAGCUUGGAUGACCCGAAUGUUCUUUGCUGCCUGUUAACAGAGGAGGAGUUUGAUGGUGAUGGGUGGAAUAUCAUGGUUGGCAACAAUGCACAUCUGCUGUCAUGUGUCUCUCUGGGUGCGGAACAUCGCCAUAACCACCUUCCUGAUACCUCCCCACUUCCAACUGUCUUCUGCAAAUACCUUGAAAGGCCAACAGGUGGCUUGGUGUCUAAUGCUAGGAUCUUUACUAUAUGGGCGCUAAGGGUACACGCAGAGCGAUAUCACAUCAGAGAAGAUGUCACAUAUUUUUCUAGCAUUCUUGUUUGCCUUGCAAAUUCAUUAUGCUAG